This 2780-nucleotide long non-coding RNA is filed under the name Aedes aegypti (yellow fever mosquito). RNAcentral's name for it is "lncRNA AAEL023658". Lineage: Eukaryota; Metazoa; Arthropoda; Insecta; Diptera; Culicidae. The record is from RNAcentral.
GAGCUCGUCGAUGGAUGUGUUGGUGCGAAUAAGCGAGGCGAGGCGAGCGAACCGAGCAAAAGAUGUUCCAAAGUCUGUGCAGCCGAAACUUUUAGUAAUAGCUCGACCUAGCUAGCUGAUGGACAAGUAUUGGCUGCUCGCAGUAGUUCGCGAUACGCGUUUCGUCGUUACGGUUCAGCUUUGAAAAGUUGAAGUUUUGGAGAUCAGUUUAAGGAGUAGAAACUGCAUUUUCCUGGAUGAUUUUCCUAUUGGAGAUAAAGGUGAUGCAUUGAGAGUGUCGAAGGGUAUUCGAUUACCAGACGGGGAAAAAUCUACUGGAAUCCAGUGAAGCGAAGGGUUAAGGACAUCUCGACUGGUUGUCCUAGGAAUCUGUGUAUGGGCUGAUUAUAGAUGGAUAUUGAGCUUUAGAUCUAACACUGGGGAGCUCUCCGAGUGGGUGGUGGGAGAAUUCUAGGGUACUGAAGUGUUUAGUGCUCGGCGAGGAAACGUCCAGCCUCACGCAGGGGUUCGGUCUAGCUCCAGACUGGAGAAAAUCAAUCAUACAGUGCACACCUGGGCACACACUAGGUGUCUGGAAGUGACAUUUUUGCUCGACAUUCACAUGGCAUAGGCUCUCCGAGAGCUACAUAUGUGUGUGCAGCAGUUCGAAUAGUCAAGGUGCUGCUCCCCUUGGAAAGUUGCAAUCCGUGAGGUGAAAGAAGAAAACCCACAACAUCAGUGCUGUAUUUGACCGAAGUACUGCUAUCUAUCUCUCAAAGGGAUCCGGACGUUUAUCAGUGAAACCAACAUCCAACAUCUAGGCCCAAUAGAUCAGUCCCGCCGAAUCAGUGACCAGUUUUUGACAUCCCGUGUGAAUGGAGUUAUAUGUAUACAAAUAUUUAGACAUAAAAUAAGCACAAAUAUGCAAAAGUGAAGAGUUAUUUUUUCUCGUCGCACUAGCUCCGAUAUCUCGCGCUACAUAUACACACGUCUACGGACUCGGUUGACUACGGAUACGUCACACAACCGACGACAAGCAAGCAGCCCAAGAAGUAUUGAAAAAGAAGUCCCACGGACAGAUUGGUGCUGCUGGCUGCUGGUUGCUGCCGUGAGUGGCGAGAGACCUUUUUCUGGUCGUGCUCUCGCGUGCUCUGUUCACAUCUCCGGAUCUCCGGAAUCGCGGCGGAUCAACCGAAUCGGCAAGCUGCUGGGUUUGUUUUGUGUGUAUUCUACUGAUAGCUAGACUAUUACGAAUGAGAGUUUAUCGUGUACACAGGUACGUGAGUGCGUGCAGAACUGUGAAAUUCCGGUGCGUUUCAUAAGACCUCGUAGAUUCUUGGACGAAUCCUCCAAAUCAUCCAUCAAGUGCAAGUGAGCCAAGAUUGUCAGGUGAAAACCGUAUCGUUCAACAGUGGAGUGAGAGUUUCCCUUAUCGAAGCAGCAGCAUCAACGGCGCUUUCGACUUCCAUGUGACACAUCCUGCCUCCUGGUGCUUCCGCCCUCACACCCUUCCAGUACAGUUGGUAUUGUUCAUGGGCGUUUGUGUUGUUCGAUCAGCCCUCGAUGUGCGGUACGACAAUGGCGCAAGUGUCACCCAAAAAUGAGAAAAUAAAUUAAAAUUUUUAAUCGAUGUUUUCCUCGCUUUUCACCAUCCCACCGGGCGUUGUCGUUGUCAGCGCAGUCAUUUAUUGUUGGUCGGAAAAAUGAAAUAAAUGUAAUAAUAAAGAAGAGAAACGAGCGGGAUAAAAUAAAGUAAAAAAAUUGCAUAAGAAUAGCCACAUUGGUGCGUGAAUAAAUGUUUGUUCAAGUGGGCUUUUUUCCGAUGAGCCGGAUGGGAAGGCCUGAAGUCGGAUUUCCAUGCUAAAGGUCUGGAGAUUGGCAGGGAAGGAGAAGUGGAGUGAUGUCCGAGUUGUGAAUAAAAUGUGUCAUCAGAAAUAAAAUUCCACUCGGGUUGUUUGUUUCCACUGGGGGGAAAAUACAGGAAAAAAGUGGAGCUCCGAGUACAGCAAGCCGAUUUGGUGCGAAAAUAUUGUGUUUCGGCUCAAGUGCGACGCGUGUUUUUUGAGUGUUCUACAAGUGUAACGAAAAUAAUUGGCGAUCGUCAUAUUUCUCGCGUAAGGUGUCAGCAGUUUACAGUUUGAUGAAGUGUGUGGUGGUAGAGUUGAACGUGGGCGUGUUUUCAUGCUAAACCGAUCCCGCUAGGGUUGUGUCAGGCUCUUCAGUGGGUCUUGGGGUCCCAAGUGAAGUGGAAAUUCAGGUUCAGCUUCAACCAGGGUGGGCGAACGAGAAAGCCUUCAAAGUGGCCGCGUCCAAGAGAUCCCGGGGCGCCUCGUCGGAAGGUCGCUUGAACACCGCAACGACGACCACGACCGACACCGGGACUGGGACCAGCCUGACCAACUCCCGCCAGGGCUCCGUCGAUGGGGUAAUGCAACGAUGCGGUCUCUGCUCGAUCAUCUCCAGCCUGCUGCGGCGCGCCAUGUGCGUCGGGUCCCGGCGUGGUAGCGGCGAGUCCUACUACCAGGAACUGGCAGAAACUAAUGUAUGUCGGAUGAAGCCAAGUGGUACCAAUACAGCCGUGAGUAAAAUGCGCACUGUCUUGGGUGUUGACGUGUUUCGAUGGAAAGUUUACCCUUUCGAUGUGAUCCGUCCCAUUUUCCGAAGACCCCCUCAGCGAGGGAAAAGUUGUUCAAAAUUCACUCGAUUUCAUGCGGUGAAAUUACCCAGUUGGAUAGAAUUCAACAGGAAAUCUGGGAUAUUCAAACGGCUUUUUAUUCACCUCGAUCAUCAGCAUAUAGCAA